This 428-nucleotide long non-coding RNA is filed under the name Phoenix dactylifera (date palm). Its description in RNAcentral is "long non-coding RNA (PDAC_LNC019315)". Lineage: Eukaryota; Viridiplantae; Streptophyta; Magnoliopsida; Arecales; Arecaceae. The record is from RNAcentral.
ACUUGGAAAGGAACUUGGAAAGUAACGCAAAUGCAGGUGCUUAUGCAGAUGCUUUAUCAACAAGAUGCUUGAAAAGUAACACAAAUGCAGAUGCUUUUAUCAAAACUCAAGAUGCUUGAAAAGUAAUGCAGAGAUGCUUUAUCAAACUCAAGAUGUUUGAAAAGCAACACAAAUUAUCACCCUGAGUCCCUUCCGCACAAAUGCUUUAUCAAAUGCACAGCCUAUUUAAUCCCGGUCUCCUCGCCUACUCGCCUACCCAAUCCCUGAGUCCCUCACAUUCUCAAUCAUGUCAGCAGCACCUCCUCCUGCCCAAACAAAAAUGUCGGCAGCACCUCCUGCCCAAACCGGUAAGAACCUCAUCGAAACUGCCUUGCCACCUCCACCUCCUCCUGCCCAAACCGGUAUGAACCUCCUCCCACCUCCUCCUC